AUGAAGAGAGAUUCUAGGGAAUUUGGGUGAGGCCUUAUAGAUAGACAAGCUUCCAGCAGCGAUGUUCUGUUGACCCAAACUCCACUUUUCCUGCCUGUCAGCCUUGGAGAUCAAGCAUCUAUCUCUUGCUCAUCAAGUCAGAGCCUUGUUCACAGUAAUGGAAAUUCCUAUUUGGAAUGGCACCUGCAGAAGUCAGGCCAGUCUCUACAACUCCUGAUCUAUGAGGUUUCCAAACGACAUUCUGGUGUUCCAGACAGGUUCAGUGGCAGUGGAUCAGGGACAGAUUUCACACUUAAGAUCAGCAGAGUAGAGCCUGAGGAUUUGGGAGUUUAUUACUGCUUCCAAGGUACACAUUUACCUCC
Mus musculus (house mouse) is the source of this 362-nucleotide non-coding RNA. The record is from the annotation of a RefSeq genome assembly. Lineage: Eukaryota; Metazoa; Chordata; Mammalia; Rodentia; Muridae.